RNAcentral lists this unclassified non-coding RNA (343 nucleotides) under soil metagenome. Its description in RNAcentral is "partial contains 5.8S ribosomal RNA, internal transcribed spacer 2, and large subunit ribosomal RNA". The stretch from base 1 to 120 matches the Rfam family "5.8S ribosomal RNA", at positions 35 to 154 of the family's 154-position model. The record is from RNAcentral.
GAUGAAGAACGUAGCGAAAUGCGAUAAGUAAUGUGAAUUGCAGAAUUCAGUGAAUCAUCGAAUCUUUGAACGCACAUUGCGCCCGCUAGUAUUCUGGCGGGCAUGCCUGUCCGAGCGUCAUUCCAACCCUCAAGCCCCCGGGCUUGGUGUUGGGGAUCGGCGAGCCUCCGCGCCCGCCGUCCCCUAAAUCUAGUGGCGGUCUCGCUGUAGCUUCCUCUGCGUAGUAGCACACCUCGCACUGGGAAACAGCGCGGCCACGCCGUUAAACCCCCAACUUCUGAACGUUUGACCUCGGAUCAGGUAGGAAUACCCGCUGAACUUAAGCAUAUCAAUAAGCGGAGGA